UUAGAGUUUGAUCCUGGCUCAGAACGAACGCUGGCGGCGUGCCUAACACGUGCAAGUCGAACGGUUAGAUGGCUUCGGUCAUCUGAUAGUGGCGCACGGGUGAGUAAUGCAUAGGAACGUACCUAGAGGUGGGGAAUAACUGCGGGAAACUUCAGCUAAUACCCCAUGAAGUCGCAAGACCAAAGGAGGCCUCUUUUUGAAAGCUUCCGCCCCUAGAUCGGCCUAUGUCCCAUUAGCUAGUUGGUAGGGUAAAAGCCUACCAAGGCGACGAUGGGUAGCUGGUCUGAGAGGACGAUCAGCCACACUGGAACUGAGAUACGGUCCAGACUCCUACGGGAGGCAGCAGUGGGGAAUCUUGCACAAUGGGCGAAAGCCUGAUGCAGCAACGCCGCGUGGGUGAAGAAGGUCUUUGGAUUGUAAAGCCCUUUCGGUUAGGAAGAAGGGCUAUCGGGAUAAUACCUCGGUAGUCUGACGGUACUAGAAGGAGAAGCACCGGCUAAUUCCGUGCCAGCAGCCGCGGUAAUACGGAAGGUGCGAGCGUUGUUCGGAAUAAUUGGGCGUAAAGAGCACGUAGGUGGGUUGGUGUGUCAGAUGUGAAAUCCCUGGGCUUAACCUGGGAAUUGCAUUUGAAACUGCCAGUCUUGAAUACUUGAGGGUUGGAGAAAUUCCAGGUGUAGGAGUGAAAUCCGUAGAGAUCUGGAGGAAUACCGGAGGCGAAGGCGUCCAACUGGCAAUGUAUUGACACUGAGGUGCGAAAGUGCGGGGAGCAAACAGGAUUAGAUACCCUGGUAGUCCGCACCAUAAACGAUGGAUACUAGGUGUUUGGGAAGUUAACCUCUGAGUACUGAAGCUAACGCAUUAAGUAUCCCGCCUGGGGAGUACGGUCGCAAGGCUAAAACUCAAAGGAAUUGACGGGGACCCGCACAAGCGGUGGAGUAUGUGGUUUAAUUCGAAGCAACGCGCAGAACCUUACCUACCCUUAACAUCCCAGGACGCAUGCAGAGAUGUAUGCUUCACUUCGGUGACCUGGAGAUAGGUGCUGCAUGGCUGUCGUCAGCUCGUGUCGUAAGAUGUCUGGUUAAGUCCAAAAACGAGCGCAACCCCUGUCCUUAGUUACCAUCAUUAAGUUGGGGACUCUAAGGAGACUGCCGGUGUUAAACCGGAGGAAGGCGGGGAUGACGUCAAGUCCUCAUGGCCCUUACGGGUAGGGCUACACACGUACUACAAUGGCAGAAACAAACCGUCGCGAAGCCGCGAGGUGGAGCUAAUCGGUAAAACACUGUCUCAGUUCGGAUUGAAGUCUGCAACUCGACUUCAUGAAGCUGGAAUCGCUAGUAAUCGCUGAUCAGCAAGCAGCGGUGAAUACGUUCCCGGGUCUUGUACACACCGCCCGUCACACCACGAAAGUGGUCAUCACCAGAAGUAUGUGAGCUAACCGCAAGGAGGCAGCAUACCAAGGUUAUGGCCGCAAUUGGGGUGAAGUCGUAACAAGGUAACC
RNAcentral lists this ribosomal RNA (1498 nucleotides) under uncultured bacterium. RNAcentral's name for it is "16S ribosomal RNA". It matches the Rfam family "Bacterial small subunit ribosomal RNA". The record is from RNAcentral.